AGGUCUGCACUCAGUGUUCUGAGCUUUGAACAUCUGAAUGAUUAGU
This 46-nucleotide small nucleolar RNA is filed under the name Mus spicilegus (steppe mouse). Its description in RNAcentral is "Small nucleolar RNA SNORA17 (ENSMSIG00000030637.1)". Lineage: Eukaryota; Metazoa; Chordata; Mammalia; Rodentia; Muridae. The record is from RNAcentral.